GAUGAAGAACGUAGCGAAAUGCGAUAAGUAGUGUGAAUUGCAGAAUUCAGUGAAUCAUCGAAUCUUUGAACACACAUUGCGCCCCAUGGUAUUCCGUGGGGCAUGCCUGUUCGAGCGUCAUUUACCCCCUCAAGCUCCGCUUGGUGUUGGGCGUCUGUCCCGCUUCGCGCGCGGACUCGCCCCAAAGGUAUUGGCAGCGGUCGUGCCAGCUUCUCGCGCAGCACAUUGCGCUUCUCGAGGCACCGGUGGGCCCGCGUCCAUCAAGCUCACCCCCCCAGUUUGACCUCGGAUCAGGUAGGGAUACCCGCUGAACUUAAGCAUAUCAAUAAGCGGAGGA
This 337-nucleotide unclassified non-coding RNA is filed under the name soil metagenome. RNAcentral describes it as "partial contains 5.8S ribosomal RNA, internal transcribed spacer 2, and large subunit ribosomal RNA". The stretch from base 1 to 120 matches the Rfam family "5.8S ribosomal RNA", at positions 35 to 154 of the family's 154-position model. The record is from RNAcentral.